GCCGCACCGCACACACUAGUGACACAAACAGCCGUACCACGUGAAGGAUGACACGUUUUCGGAUUGUAAACCUCUUUCAAUGGGGACGAAGCCGCAAGGUGACGGUACCUAUAGAAGAAGCCCCGGCUAACUACGUGCCAGCAGCCGCGGUAAUACGUAGGGGGCAAGCGUUGUCCGGAUUUAUUGGGCGUAAAGCGCGUGUAGGCGGCUUUUUAAGUCCGAUGUGAAAACUCUCGGCUCAACUGGGAGACUGCAUUGGAAACUGGAUAGCUGGAGUGCAGGAGAGGGAAGUGGAAUUCCUAGUGUAGCGGUGAAAUGCGCAGAUAUUAGGAGGAACACCAGUGGCGAAGGCGGCUUCCUGGACUGUAACUGACGCUGAGACGCGAAAGCUAGGGGAGCAAACAGGAUUAGAUACCCUGGUAGUCCUAGCCGUAAACGAU
RNAcentral lists this ribosomal RNA (440 nucleotides) under uncultured prokaryote. RNAcentral's name for it is "bacterial SSU rRNA". It matches the Rfam family "Bacterial small subunit ribosomal RNA", at positions 348 to 810 of the family's 1533-position model. The record is from RNAcentral.